GACGAACGCUGGCGGUGUGCUUAACACAUGCAAGUGGUGCGACGAACCAGAGCUUGCUCUGGGGCAAAGCCGCGAACGGGUGAGUAACACGUGGGUAAUCUACCCCGAUGACCGGGACAACCCGAGGAAACUCGGGCUAAUACCGGAUGUGGUGCGGAGACAUAAGUCUCUUCACUAAAGGUAGCUUCGGCUUCCGCAUUGGGAGGGGCCCGCGGCCCAUUAGCUUGUUGGUGGGGUCAAGGCCUACCAAGGCAACGAUGGGUAGCUGGUCUGAGAGGACGAUCAGCCACACUGGGACUGAGACACGGCCCAGACUCAUACGGGAGGCAGCAGUGGGGAAUCUUGCGCAAUGCGCGAAAGCGUGACGCAGCAACACCGCGUGAGGGAAGAAGGCCUUAGGGUUGUAAACCUCUUUCAGAUGGGACGAAGGUUCUCCGGUGAAUAGCCGAGAGGAUUGACGGUACCGUCAGAAGAAGCUCCGGCUAACUACGUG
This 493-nucleotide ribosomal RNA is filed under the name uncultured bacterium. RNAcentral describes it as "partial 16S ribosomal RNA". It matches the Rfam family "Bacterial small subunit ribosomal RNA", at positions 28 to 507 of the family's 1533-position model. The record is from RNAcentral.